CCGCCAUGGCACGACCCCCCCCACGCCUCUCUCCCCCCCCUCCCUCCUUUUCCAGCACCCCGAGGCCGGUGUGAAUGAGAGAACCGAGCGAACCCGAAGCUGCGCCCUACACCCACCCACCAACCCAGCCUCGCAUCGCAGAGGAAAUCCUCACCGUCACCCGGCUCUAUCACCGGGUGUGCGUGGGGGGGGGGGGGGGGGGGGGGGGAGGAGGAGGAGGAGGAGAGCAGCCCUCCCCUCGCACCCCGGCCCUCAGCACCAUGAUGUUUCGAGACCAGGUCGGCGUUCUGGCCGGCUGGUUUAAGGGCUGGAACGAAUGCGAGCAGACUGUUGCGCUGCUCUCGCUGCUCAAACGCGUGAGCCGGACCCAGGCGCGCUUCCUGCAGCUCUGCCUGGAGCACUCGCUGGCGGACUGCACCGAGCUGCACGUCCUCGAAGGGGAGGCCAACAACCCCGGAAUCAUUAACCAAUGGCAACAGGAAUCCAAGGAUAAAGUGAUAUCCCUAUUGUUAACCCACCUGCCUUUACUGAAGCCCGGAAACAUCGAAGCAAAAGUCGAAUACAUGAAACUCUUGCCUAAAAUCCUGGCCCACUCGAUUGAACACAACCAACACAUCGAGGAGAGCCGACAGCUGUUGUCCUACGCCUUGAUCCACCCGGCCACCUCGCUGGAGGACCGCAGCGCUUUGGCCAUGUGGCUCAACCACCUGGAGGACCGCACGUCGGGGACCUUUGGCAGCCAGGGCAGGGGCCGCUCGGACUCUGUGGACUACGGGCAGACUCACUACUAUCACCAAAGACAGAACUCCGAUGAUAAACUCAACGGAUGGCAAAACUCUCGAGACUCGGGCAUAAGCGUCAGCGCUUCCAGCUGGCAGGACAAAAACCUGGCCUGCGAGAACGGCCAUCUGCCCCUCUACUCCUCCUCCUCCGUCCCCACCACCAUCAACACCAUUGGCACUAGCACAAGCACCAUUCUCUCAGGCCAGACACACCACAGCCCUUUGAAACGCUCUGUGUCCCUUACCCCACCCAUGAAUGUGCCAAACCAGCCUCUAGGACAUGGAUGGAUGUCUCAUGAGGACUUACGAGCUAGAGGACCCCAGUGCAUCCCUUCCGAUCAUGCCCCCCUGUCUCCACAAAGCAGUGUAGCCUCUUCGGGAAGUGGUGGGAGUGAACAUUUAGAAGAUCAGCCUUCCGCUCGUAACACAUUCCAGGAGGAAGGGAGUGGUAUGAAAGAUGUUCCAGCCUGGCUGAAGAGUCUCCGGCUGCACAAGUACGCCGCUCUCUUCUCACAGAUGACGUACGAGGAGAUGAUGGCCCUCACUGAAUGCCAGCUCGAGGCACAAAACGUUACCAAAGGCGCAAGACACAAAAUAGUCAUCAGCAUCCAAAAGCUAAAAGAAAGACAGAACCUGCUCAAAUCAUUAGAAAGGGACAUCCUGGAAGGUGGCAACCUGCGUGUCCCGCUGCAGGAACUACACCAAAUGAUCCUCACCCCCAUCAAAGCCUACUCUUCCCAAAUCUCCAGCCCGGAGGAGCACAGCCGGGACACAGACUCACAUCACCCCCCCUCCCUGCUGGGCUCAGACAGCCAGGGCUCCGAUGGCAAGGACUCUGCAGCGGGGGGCAUGCAGCAGCAUCACCUGCCAGGCUGUGAGGGUGAAUCGGGGGGCGGCCCUUUGCCUGAAGGUGACCUGCCUGGACAGUUCACAAGGGUGAUGGGGAAAGUGUGCACACAACUUUUAGUUUCCCGACCUGAUGAAGAGAAUAUAAGCUCCUAUUUACAGCUUAUAGACAAAUGUCUAAUACACGAGGCGUUUACAGAGAUACAGAAGAAACGGCUGUUGUCAUGGAAACAGCAGGUGCAAAAACUCUUUAGGUCUUUCCCUCGGAAAUCCCUCCUGGAGCUGUCAGGCUAUCGGCAGCAGCGGAGCCGAGGCUUUGGGCAGUCCAACUCCUUACCGACAGCCGGAUCCGCCGGGGCAGGGCUGGGCAGACGAAACCCCCGCCAGUUCCAGAUCCCCUCCCGCAACCUCCCCACUGCCCGCCUGGGGCUGCUGGGUCCCAGUGGGCUGCUGGGCACCCCACAGCGCAGCCCUGCUACCAGCCCUGCCAUCCUCAAGCAAGGCAGACAGAACCUCUGGUUUGCCAACCCUGGGGGCAGUAACAGCAUGCCCAGCAGGAGCCACAGCUCAGUGCAGAGGACGCGCUCGCUGCCGGUGCACACCUCCCCGCAGACCAUGCUGAUGUUCCAGCAGCCAGAGUUCCAGGUGCCGGUGACUGAACCUGACAUCAACAACAGGCUGGAGUCCCUGUGCCUGAGCAUGACGGAGCACGCGCUCAGCGGUGAGCACUCCCUCCUCCUUGGGCUCUUCCAGCACGUCCAGGCGGCCUCAGCCAAGCCCCCCAGGGGCUGCCCCACGCCCCCCAAAGGCUGGGACCAGCUUUGGCUGUGAGAGAUGUGACAGGGUGGGAUGGUUGCUGCUCCCAUGGAGGGGUCUCAGCCAGCUCUGUCGAGACAGAGGGGUAAAACUAAACGCAGGGAUUGCGCCUGGCGCUGGCACAGCCUGUGCUUUUAGCCACUAGUUAGCUUGCUAAUCAUCAUUAGUGUUAGCUCACUAGUCUGCUGUUAAUUAAUGACAAAGCCACCCAAGCUCUCGAAUGGUGCACAGGCUUCAGAGCGCUCUACCCCUCUGCCAGCCCAAGCCCUGCUUUGCUGGGGGACACGGGGACCCCCAGGGCUGCAGCCAUCCCUUUGGGGUCGUGGCGAUGCUGGCAGCCUGGGUGGUGACAAGGAGCAGGGAGGGAGGAGGAGGGCCAGGCUGCAAGCAGUGCAAGAGGGGAGCCCAGGGAGGCACCGGACACGCCGUGACGCAGCGGACCCGGAUGGCGUGGGGACGCCAGGAUGGGACGAGCCGAGCAGCCCGCAUCGUCCAGAGCCUCCUGAAUACACGGCCCCAAAAGCCACAGACUGUCGGAUGGUGGAGGAUGGGAACCCACGGGGAGGACACGGCUCCCUGCAGCGAUGGCACUGCCCAGGGACAGGGACGUGGGAGCGAGGACUGGACGUGGCAGCAGGGUGCUGGCCGUGGGCACAAGGACACUGCUGUCACCGACGCGUUCCUGCGGCGCGCGCCCAGGCGAGGCUUAGCUGUGUUGUUCCUGUGCAGGACGGUGUCGACCGGACCUCCACCAUCUAGAGGAGGAGGACAGCCUGAUGGCGGCGGUGCUGAUGAGAGAAGAACUGCUGCAGGUCCAGCGGAGAGGUCCAGGCACGGGAGCCUCAGCGACAGCUUGCAUCCUUUCUGUCUUUCUCUCUCUUCCUCUCUUUUCUCCUGUUUUAAUUUGGUGAACGUGUAGAUUGUCCUUGUGAACAUACCAUUAGACUUGGAAUUUGUGUUGUCCUUUCUUACAUCCGUGCUAAAAAAGAAAAGGGGGGAGGGGGGGAAGAGAAGAGGGGAGGGAUGGCAAAGAAAGAAACAACGCUGAGAAAAACAAACUGCAAAAAAUGCCUGGGGUGGGUGGGGGGUGCGGCAGAAAAGUGCUGACUUUGUGGUUUCUCCAUGGGCAGUGAAUGUCACCUGUGUGUGACCAAAGCCCUUAGGGGAGGAUUUGCCAUAGGGGACCCCGCGGGCGCUGCCAGCUGCCCCGUCCUUGUCCUCAUCCCAUGGGGGCCGGGCUGUAGCCUAUGCAAAAAAAAAAAAAAAUGCCCUUGGGACCGGUGGCUGAAUUAUAAAAACCAAAAUCAAACACACGCAUUAAAAAAAAAAAAAAGCAGAAACAAACCUGCCUUUCUGUUUUGCAAAGAGCACCCGACACAGAGAUCCGUCUGUCGGUGCGGUGUUGCGGGGUGCCCGUCCUGCUGUUGGGUUGUGUCCGUCUGUCCGGCCGCCCUUGUGGCAAUGGACAGUGAGGGGCUGGGGAUGUCGGUGAGGGGUGAUGCAGUGAGUGAUGGGUGUCCGUGUCUCUGUUUUGUGUGUGUGUUAGCAGAAAAGUGCUGCAUCCUGGGUUUGCACAUCUGCCCAGCCUGCCCAAACCAUCGCUGAGUCGAGGCAUCGCUGAACGGUUGGGUUGGAAGGGGCCAUAAAGAUCUUCUGGUUCCACCCCUGCUGUGGGCUGGGUGCCCCCCAGCUCAGUCUGCCCAGGGCCCAAUCAUAGCCUAAGCACCUGCAGGGAUGGGGCACCCACAGCUCUGAGCAGUGCCACGGCCUCACCAUCCUCUCUAGGUAAAGAAUUUCCUACUAAAAGCCCCUUAAAAUGGGGUUUCCCCAGCCCUGCAAUGGGGUAAUCCUGGCCACCAAGUGGGAGGACAUUCUGAAAGAGCAGAACCAACCAAGUGAGAGCAGGCACCAAAACUCAGCCUUGUUAUGGGGCAUAAAAAACAUCAGGAAGGGGACGUGAAUGAUGGUCACCCCUAAUGGGCUUAGUGGAGGAAAUGAGUAACACCUAAAGAAAUCUGGAUGCUCAGAGCAGGAAGUGAAUGGUCGUGAUGCCCCUCUGGAUGUGUUUUGCUGUAAGCACUGCAGUCAGUCCCUACUGAUAGAAGGGCGUGUGAGCAAUGAGAUUCAGUCCCUACUCAUAUAUGAAGCUGUUGGGUUCCCAACACUGGCUCACCCCAUAGCACCAAAGGGCAGCUCCAGUUGGGGUUUGACCAGCAGUGCUGCUCUUCCAGGGACUGAGCAGGGCUGGCUGUGCAGCUCUCGGCAGAUGUGCAAAUCCAUUGGCGAUGCAGCACUUUUAAGUAGUUUCAUAUGCAUCUAUAUAUAUAUAUGUGUGUGUGCAUAUAUAUAUAUAUA
This is an RNA transcript of Phasianus colchicus (ring-necked pheasant), 4799 nucleotides long. It is a transcript of the gene named sterile alpha motif domain containing 4A, with no coding region annotated. The record is from RefSeq and is a predicted model, not a curated record. NCBI's taxonomy places the organism in Eukaryota, Metazoa, Chordata, Aves, Galliformes, Phasianidae.